UGGGAACGUACCCUUCGGUUCGGAAUAGCCCGGGGAAACUCGGAGUAAUACCGGAUACGUCCGUAAGGAGAAAGAUUCAUCGCCGAAGGAUCGGCCCGCGUCUGAUUAGCUAGUUGGUGGGGUAAUGGCCCACCAAGGCUACGAUCAGUAGCUGGUCUGAGAGGAUGAUCAGCCUCACUGGGACUGAGACACGGCCCAGACUCCUACGGGAGGCAG
This 216-nucleotide ribosomal RNA is filed under the name uncultured bacterium. RNAcentral's name for it is "partial 16S ribosomal RNA". It matches the Rfam family "Bacterial small subunit ribosomal RNA", at positions 118 to 351 of the family's 1533-position model. The record is from RNAcentral.